This is a long non-coding RNA of Dendroctonus ponderosae (mountain pine beetle), 922 nucleotides long. RefSeq lists it as uncharacterized. Lineage: Eukaryota; Metazoa; Arthropoda; Insecta; Coleoptera; Curculionidae. The transcript is spliced from 2 exons. The record is from RefSeq and is a predicted model, not a curated record.
CUAACCGCAUACCUCCUGUCGACUUAUCGCAUACCUUCAAUCUCCAGUUAAUUUCGCACCUUCGGCUUCCGUCUCGCUCGAUUCCGAAUGGCGAACCAUCCAUGAGACGAGGAUGGAAACUGGCGAGUCUUUUAAGGCACAGGAAUGGCAAGGAGCUGUAUUCAGUUAAUUGUCAUCUACUGUAUUCGAGUGACAUUUUCAGAUAAGUCAAUUAGUUUAGGUUCGCGACGAAGCAACUAAAGUAGAAUCUCUGACUACGUUCGAGAACUUUUCAGCUGCCGUUUGGCAUGUGGUAGCACAAAAGUGGCAACUGCUGGCAAUUCAUCAACAGCAUCAACAUUCGGAUUGAUUUUCGGAAUUUUUUUCCAGUCUCCAAAUGAAGCGGUGAAUUUCAUUCCAGCUAUUCCGGUACUUUAGGGAUAAAAAAAGAAUUGCUUAGUCCCGUCCCGAAUUCCAUGUGUUUGCUUCAAAUAUGAAUCCCAUCAACACGGACGUAGCAGAAUCUAGAACAAUGCGACGCUGAACUGUUCCUCAAGAGCGUACGAAUCCUCCAAACAAGAAGUGGAGCAUUGUUUAUGGUGCUUUAUCUUUAAAGAUUUGUUUUACGCCUCACGGAUGGAUUUAUUGGCGAAAUUGAUUUGUUAAACCGAUCGAUGCAGUAGAUUCCCUUAGCGGAGCGUUUUCAGGAAUUUAUGGACAUAUCUGUUCUGGGUCAGGUCAGUGGCUCUUUUGCAAGGUCUAUGGGAAAAUUUCGAUUUUUGUUGUAACAAUAAAUUGUUAAAAACAUUUAAGUUUAGGGCAGGCGUGUUAGAGAUUUUAUCUACUGUUAGCUGCUUGUGCAUCCAAAAAAGUAUACCUUCUAAUUUCUAGAGCUUCGGAUACCAAUUUCCGUUGUGUAUAAACAAACUUUAUGUAAAAUUAA